Molecule: transfer RNA, 68 nt
Filed under: Marmota monax (woodchuck)
Lineage: Eukaryota; Metazoa; Chordata; Mammalia; Rodentia; Sciuridae
Description: tRNA.Ala
Source: RNAcentral
GGAUUGUGGCUUAGCGGUAAAGCACUUGCCUAGCACAUGCGAGGCCCUGGGUUCAAUCCUCAGCACCA